Esox lucius (northern pike) is the source of this 1194-nucleotide long non-coding RNA. NCBI's taxonomy places the organism in Eukaryota, Metazoa, Chordata, Actinopteri, Esociformes, Esocidae. The record is from Ensembl.
GAGGAACUGACUCAAACUUUUUCCAGACUUCCCCCCCUGUGGAAAUUUACAUUUCCAUAGUCCUAUCAACUGUCAUGUGAUUGACGCAAUUCUCCAUUUGUCACUGGAGUUGGGUACUUAAAAAAAAAAACGUUCAUUUCCAAGUGUAAUUUCUUCAUGCUAAUGCACGGCCAAUAAGACACAGCCCCGCAUUGGGUCUGAGUAUUGCGUGUGCCAGAACUGGUGACUACCAGCGGGAUCAUUGGGGAAAGCCUUGCUCUUUUGAAUAGGAGGAGACCAUGACCUCUGACCUUUCACCUGGGCGGGUGAGUGUUCCAGGUUGACGUAAUUGCAAAGCCUCUUGUUGAGGUUAAUGGUCACUGUGUGAAGCUGCUGCUGCUGUAUCAGCACCCGAUGAAUUAUGCUGCUCACCUCUGUGGGGAUUACACGCCCUAAUCCUUCUGCAGGGAAGGAAGGGGAUGUGAGUGAUAGGGAGGGGAUGUGAGUGAUAGGGAGGGGAGGUGAGUGAUAGGGAGGGAAUGUGAGUGAUAGGGAGUGAAUGUGAGUGAUAGGGAGUGAAUGUGAGUGAUAGGGAGGAGACGUGAGUGAUAGGGAGGGGACGUGAGUGAUAGGGAGGGGAUGUGAGUGAUAGGGAGGGGAUGUGAGUGAUAGGGAGGGGAUGUGAGUGAUAGGGAGGGGAGGUGAGUGAUAGGGAGGGGAUGUGAGUGAUAGGGAGGGGACUUGAGUGAUAGGGAGGGGAUGUGAGUGAUAGGGAGUGAAUGUGAGUGAUAGGGAGGGGAGGUGAGUGAUAGGGAGGGGAUGUGAGUGAUAGGGAGGGGAUGUGAGUGAUAGGGAGGGGAUGUGAGUGAUAGGGAGUGAAUGUGAGUGAUAGGGAGGGGAGGUGAGUGAUAGGGAGAGGAGGUGAGUGAUUGGGAGUGAAUGUGAGUGAUAGGGAGGGGACAUGAGUGAUAGGGAGGGGAUGUGAGUGAUAGGGAGUGAAUGUGAGUGAUAGGGAGGGGAGGUGAGUGAUAGGGAGGGGAGGUGAGUGAUUGGGAGUGAAUGUGAGUGAUUGGGAGUGAAUGUGAGUGAUAGGGAGGGGACAUGAGUGAUAGGGAGGGGAUGUGAGUGAUAGGGAGUGAAUGUGAGUGAUAGGGAGGGGAGGUGAGUGAUAGGGAGGGGAGGUGAGUGAUAGGGAGGGGACGUGAGUGAUAGGGA